Molecule: ribosomal RNA, 276 nt
Filed under: uncultured prokaryote
Description: partial 16S ribosomal RNA
Rfam family: Bacterial small subunit ribosomal RNA
Source: RNAcentral
UACGUAGGUGGCAAGCGUUAUCCGGAAUUACUGGGCGUAAAGGGUGCGUAGGUGGUUUCUUAAGUCAGAGGUGAAAGGCUACGGCUCAACCGUAGUAAGCCUUUGAAACUGGGAAACUUGAGUGCAGGAGAGGAGAGUGGAAUUCCUAGUGUAGCGGUGAAAUGCGUAGAUAUUAGGAGGAACACCAGUAGCGAAGGCGGCUCUCUGGACUGUAACUGACGCUGAGGCACGAAAGCGUGGGGAGCAAACAGGAUUAGAUACCCUGGUAGUCCCUGA